Molecule: RNA transcript, 6416 nt
Organism: Myotis davidii
Lineage: Eukaryota; Metazoa; Chordata; Mammalia; Chiroptera; Vespertilionidae
Gene: CDK12
Gene name: cyclin-dependent kinase 12
Exons: 18
Source: RefSeq, a predicted model, not a curated record
CCUCCUCCGAGUGCCGUUUCGGUUUAACCUAGUGUGGGAUUGAGUCUGUGAGGGAGCGAUUGAGUGUGUGAGGUACUGAGGUGAGGCGGAGGCAAGAAAAGGAACUCCCUCAGGAGCGAAGGACAAAGGGUGUGUGAGGCACCUAGGCCGCGGGACCUGAGCGACAGGAAGCCACUCCAAGUCGGGCUACCGGUAGGGGAAAGGCCCGUGCGGUCCUCAUUGGGCUCCCGAGCCGGAGUCGGCCCCGCAGCCCUGGGCCGUCGGCUUCCUACUUCCUCGACCUCGCCGGCCCCUGUGCCUGAGGAUUGGCGCCGCGUGGGGAGGAGGGCAAACGGACUUGAGCAGCUGCUCGUUGUCUCGCAACCCCACUGCUGAGGAACUCUCGUUUCUUCCCUGGCUCCUUCACCCCUACCUCAUGUAGGAGGGUGCCGAGGAGUCGGGAGGGAGGAGGGGCCUGCGCCGCGGUCCCUUCCCUCCCCACCCCCUGCUAGGGGUGCUGUGGUAGGCGUGGGGUUGGGAUUGGGGGGAGGGUGGGGGUUACUUUUUGGAGUGCUGGGGAACUUUUCCCCCUGUUGAAGCCAGGGGAAAGGGGAUGCCCAACCCAGAGAGACAUGGGGGCAAGAAGGACGGGAGCGGAGGAGCUUCUGGAACUUUGCAGCCGUCAUCGGGAGGUGGCAGCUCCAACAGCAGAGAGCGUCACCGCUUGGCGGCGAAGCACAAGCGGCACAAGUCCAAGCACUCCAAAGACAUGGGUUUGGUGACCCCCGAAGCAGCACCUUUGGGGACAAUUAUCAAACCUUUGGUGGAGUAUGAUGACAUCAGCUCUGAUUCAGAUACCUUCUCUGACGACAUGGCCUUCAAAUUAGAUAAGAGGGAGAAUGAUGAACGUCGUGGAACUGAUCGGAGUGACCGCUUGCACAGACAUCGUCACCACCAGCACAGACGUUCCCGGGACUUACUAAAAAGUAAACAGACAGAAAAAGAAAAAAAACAGGAAGUUUCCAGUAAGUCGGGAUCAAUGAAGGACCGGAUAUCAGGAAGUUCAAAGCGUUCAAAUGAGGAGAAUGAUGACUAUGGGAAGGCACAGAUCUCAAAAAGCAGCAGCAACAAGGAAUCCAGGUCAUCCAAACUCCACAAGGAGAAGACUCGGAAAGAACGUGAGUUGAAGUCUGGGCACAAAGACCGGAGUAAAAGUCAUCGGAAAAGGGAAACACCCAAAAGUUACAAGACAGUGGACAGCCCCAAACGGAGAUCCAGGAGUCCGCACAGGAAAUGGUCUGACAGCCCCAAGCAAGAUGAUAGCCCCUCAGGAGCUUCUUAUGGCCAAGAUUAUGACCUUAGUCCUCCAAGAUCUCACACCUCCAGCAAUUAUGACUCCUACAAGAAGAGUCCUGGAAGCACCUCAAGAAGGCAGUCUAUUAGUCCACCUUACAAGGAGCCUUCAGCCUACCAGUCCAGCACCCGGUCACCCAGUCCCUACAGUAGACGACAGAGAUCUGUGAGUCCCUAUAGCCGGCGACGUUCCUCAAGCUAUGAAAGGAGUGGCUCUUACAGUGGGAGAUCACCCAGUCCCUAUGGUCGAAGGCGAUCCAGCAGCCCUUUCACCAGCAAACGGUCUCUGAGUCGGAGUCCGCUCCCCAGGAAGUCCAUGAAGUCUAGAAGUAGAAGUCCUGCAUAUUCAAGACAUUCAUCUUCUCAUAGUAAAAAGAAGAGAUCCGGGUCACGUAGUCGACAUUCCAGUAUCUCACCUGUCCGACUUCCAUUGAACUCCAGCUUGGGAGCUGAACUCAGUAGGAAAAAGAAGGAAAGAGCAGCUGCUGCAGCAGCAGCAAAAAUGGAUGGAAAGGAAUCCAAGGGUUCACCUAUUAUUUUGACUAGAAAAGAGAACAGUUCAGUAGAAGCUAAGGAUUCAGGUUUGGAGUCUAAAAAGUUACCCAGAGUUUUAAAAUUGGAAAAAUCUGCCCCAGAUACUGAACUAGCGAAUGUAACACAUCUAAACAUAGAAGCCAAAAAUUCUUUAGAUACAGGGAAAGUAAAGGUGGAUGAGAACUCUGAAAAGCAUCCUGUUCUUAAAGAUUUGAAAGUACAGGGAUCAAAAGACACUAAACCCAUGGCAUUGAAGGAGGAGAUUGUUACUCCAAAAGAGACAGAGACAACAGAAAAGGAGACCCUUCCACCUCUCCCCACAGUUACUUCUCCUCCACCUCCUUUACCAACUACUACCCCUCCACCCCAAACGCCCCCUUUGCCACCUUUGCCUCCACUACCAGCUAUUCCACAGCAACCACCUCUGCCUCCUCCCCAGCCAGCAUUUAGUCAGGUUCCUGCUUCUAGUCCUUCAACUUUGCCCCCUUCUGCCCACUCAAGGACGUCUACUCUGUCCUCUCAGGCAAAUUCUCAGCCCUCUGUACAGGUUUCUAUGAAGACUCAAGUGUCUGUAACAGCUGCUAUUCCACACCUAAAAACGUCAACGUUGCCUCCUCUGCCCCUUCCACCCUUAUUACUUGGAGAAGAUGACAUGGAUAGUCCAAAAGAAACUCUGCCUUCAAAACCCGUAAAGAAAGAGAAGGAACAAAGGCCACGUCACUUACUCACGGACCUCCCUCUCCCUCCAGAACUCCCUGGUGGGGAUCCAUCUCCACCUGACUCUCCAGAACCAAAGGCAAUCACACCACCUCAGCAACCAUAUAAAAAGAGACCAAAAAUUUGUUGUCCUCGUUAUGGAGAAAGAAGACAGACAGAAAGUGAUUGGGGGAAACGCUGUGUGGACAAGUUUGACAUUAUUGGGAUUAUUGGAGAGGGAACCUAUGGCCAAGUAUAUAAAGCCAAGGACAAAGACACAGGAGAGCUAGUGGCCCUGAAGAAGGUGAGACUAGACAAUGAGAAAGAAGGCUUCCCAAUCACAGCCAUUCGUGAGAUCAAAAUCCUUCGGCAGCUAAUCCACCGAAGUGUUGUUAACAUGAAGGAAAUUGUCACAGAUAAGCAAGAUGCACUGGAUUUCAAGAAGGACAAAGGUGCCUUUUAUCUUGUAUUUGAGUAUAUGGACCAUGACUUAAUGGGACUGCUAGAAUCUGGUUUGGUGCACUUUUCUGAGGAUCAUAUCAAGUCAUUCAUGAAACAACUAAUGGAAGGAUUGGAUUACUGUCACAAAAAGAAUUUCCUGCAUCGGGAUAUUAAAUGUUCUAACAUUUUGCUGAACAACAGUGGGCAAAUCAAGCUAGCAGAUUUUGGACUUGCUCGGCUCUAUAACUCUGAAGAGAGUCGCCCUUAUACAAACAAAGUCAUUACUCUGUGGUACCGACCUCCAGAACUUCUGCUGGGAGAGGAGCGUUACACACCAGCCAUAGAUGUUUGGAGCUGUGGAUGCAUCCUUGGGGAACUGUUCACAAAGAAGCCUAUUUUUCAAGCUAAUCUGGAGUUGGCGCAGCUAGAACUGAUCAGUCGACUCUGUGGUAGCCCUUGUCCAGCUGUGUGGCCUGAUGUUAUCAAGCUGCCUUACUUCAAUACCAUGAAACCGAAGAAGCAAUAUAGAAGGCGUCUACGAGAAGAAUUCUCUUUCAUUCCUUCAGCAGCACUUGAUUUACUGGACCACAUGCUGACGCUAGAUCCUAACAAACGUUGCACAGCUGAGCAGACCCUACAGAGUGACUUCCUUAAAGAUGUUGACCCCAGCAAAAUGGAUCCUCCAGACCUCCCCCACUGGCAGGAUUGUCAUGAAUUAUGGAGUAAGAAACGGCGGCGGCAGCGACAAAGUGGUGUUGUGGUAGAAGAACCACCUCCAUCCAAAGCCUCUCGAAAAGAAACUACCUCAGGGACAGGUGCUGAGCCUGUGAAGAACAAUAGCCCAGCACCACCACAGCCUGCUCCUGUCAAGGUGGAGCCUGUGGCUGGGGAUACAAUAGGCCUCGGUGAUAUCACACAACAAUUGAAUCAAAGUGAAUUGGCAGUAUUAUUAAAUCUGCUGCAGAGCCAAACUGACCUGAGCAUCCCUCAAAUGGUACAGCUGCUUAACAUCCACUCCAACCCUGAGAUACAGCAGCAGCUGGAGGCCCUGAACCAAUCUAUCAGUGCCCUAACAGAAGCCACUUCCCAGCAGCAGGACUCAGAACCCAUGGCCCCAGAGGAAUCUGUGAAGGAGGCACACCCAGCUUCAGUGGUCCAGCCUUCAGCAGAACAAAAGACCCCUGAAGCUUCAAGCACACCAGCUGACAUGCAGAAUAUGUUGGCAGUUAUCUUGAGUCAGCUGAUGAAAACCCAGGAGCCAGCAGGCAACCUGGAGGAAAACAACAGUGACAAGAACAGUGGGCUACAGGGGCCCCGAAGAACUCCCACAAUGCCACAGGAGGAGGCAGCAGCAUGUCCUCCUCACAUUCUUCCACCAGAGAAGAGGCCCCCUGAGCCCCCCGGACCUCCACCGCCGCCACCUCCACCCCCUCUGGUUGAAGGCGAUCUUUCCAGCGUCCCCCAGGAGUUGAACCCAGCCGUGACAGCCGCCUUGCUGCAACUUUUAUCCCAGCCUGAAGCAGAGCCUCCUGGCCACCUGCCACAUGAGCACCAGGCCUUGAGACCAAUGGAAUACUCUACCCGACCCCAUCCCAACAGGACUUACGGAAACACUGAUGGGCCUGAAACAGGGUUCAGUGCCACUGACACUGAUGAACGCAACUCUGGUCCAGCCUUGACAGAAUCCUUGGCCCAGACCCUGGUGGCUGUAGCAGCAGGAGGGAUGGCCCCUGAGGAAUUUGGCGAAGUCCAUCAGUCACCUGAUAACCGGAGCCCUGGCAAAUUCAGUGUCUUUCACAGACUCAAGCCAGGCCAGCUUGGCAGUGUGCAUGUUCGCCAUCCUUUCUGAAUCGGGAACGAUAGGGUGCUAUAUUUGAGAUCACAACAGCAGGAGGGGCCAGAAGAUGGACCAAGAGAACCAGCCAUGCCUUUGAGCACAGUGCCAGAGGCCUCCUUGUUCCAGCAAAGCCCUCCUUAUCAUCCACCUCCCUUCAUUCAACUCCACUCCUGGCCAUUUCAUCCCCUCCAAUCUAAGGACGUGGGAAGAACAAGGCUGAAGUGGACGGAGCCCACAGGCCAUCUGCCCACAGACCCGAGACCUGGAAUGGGAAAGGGAGGAUCCACCCUUUCGUUGUCUGUCAGAGAAUGAGGAGGCAAGAUACAGCUUGGAAAUAUGAAGUUGCAUAUGUCUCUUGCCAGGUCCAAGGAAAAUGAGGCCUAUGGCAACAAGUGAGCACUCUAUUCUGGAGGAGUAAGGGAGAUGUAGCACCUUUUUAGUUGGUUGUGGUGAGGGGAACUACAGUUCAUUUCCACAUGUACUACAUCUUGGGCAGUCUCAGUGUCUGGAACAAGGUACAGGGGGCAAACAGAGUGGGAGCUAACAUGCCAGUCCAGUGUUUAGUCCUGACUUCACCACUGCUCUUCCCCUCCAGCUAAGUCAGGAGUUGUAGAAAUCAUUUAGUCUGUCCCUGAGCCUCUGGUCACUGGUUGAAGCUGACAGGUAGAAACCUGAGUUGGCCCAGACGUGAUGGAUGGUAGAGAUGCCAACUUGUAGGAGAGAAGGUUUGGCUCCUCUCUUAGGAGCUGUAUCUGGCCAAAGGCUGCCUCCUCCCACUUCUUGCUGGAACUGGCUCUUUUGUAUUUGAUGUUACUAUUGCUCCCUUGGCCUAGUCCAGUGAUUGUGGACUCAUAAUAAUUUCCCUAUCUACUUAUGGCUCCAGAACCAGGCUGACUGCACAGUACUCUUCUCCAUCUCCCUUGGCCCAUCAAAAAUGGCCCAUGUUCUUACGGUGGCGCCCGCCAUCCUUACCAAUAGUUCCAGCCAUGGGAGGAAAACACGAGGCCUUCAGGAUUUAUGGGGACUAUACUGCAUUGAAACAACCAGAGAUAUCCAUUCUGCAUCUGCCUGUUGGUUGGAAGUUCUUAGACACAAGGGAGACCACUCUUACCAGCUCUUACCCCCUCUGAGAUUUCCUGACUGUCGGAGGUCCUGACGCGGCUGGGAGACAGCUCUCUUCCCUUGCGGCCAAAAUGGCUCCUAACCAGGAAAUCUCAGGACCCCUGCUUACUCUCUUUCUUUGGCUGCCUCUCUACUCCGGGUCCCCUUCUCUCCUGUCACCACUCUCUUCCCAUUCCUCCUUUCUCCUCUCUCUCUCAGCAAGUUUUUUAUGUGAUUACAGGCACUGCAUGGUAAUUAGUGCUAAACUCAUUUGCACAACUACAGUUAAUUGGCUACAACAAUUAAUUAAUGUGUUGGAAAUUUGGCACUGGAAAAAAAAGUUUGUCAUCAAAAUAAGGGCAAAAAAUUGUAGAGUAAGGUACCCAUAAAAAUCGAGGGCAGGCUUCAAAAGCCCAGCUGGGCCUCAGACUUCAGGCUGGCCUUAGAUGCCUUCCCACUUCCAACUUCAACACAU